RNAcentral lists this ribosomal RNA (427 nucleotides) under uncultured marine bacterium. RNAcentral describes it as "bacterial SSU rRNA". It matches the Rfam family "Bacterial small subunit ribosomal RNA", at positions 360 to 804 of the family's 1533-position model. The record is from RNAcentral.
AAUUUUCCGCAAUGGGCGCAAGCCUGACGGAGCAAGACCGCGUGGGGGAUGAAUGCCUAAUGGUUGUAAACCCCUUUUCUCUGGGAAGAUGAUGACGGUACCAGAGGAAUCAGCCUCGGCUAACUCCGUGCCAGCAGCCGCGGUAAUACGGAGGAGGCAAGCGUUAUCCGGAAUUAUUGGGCGUAAAGCGUCCGUAGGUGGUUGUUCAAGUCUGCUGUCAAAGCGUGGGGCUCAACUCCAUAGAGGCAGUGGAAACUGGGUAACUAGAGUGCGGUAGGGGUCGAGGGAAUUCCCAGUGUAGCGGUGAAAUGCGUAGAUAUUGGGAAGAACACCAGUGGCGAAAGCGCUCGACUGGGCCUGCACUGACACUGAGGGACGAAAGCUAGGGGAGCGAAAGGGAUUAGAUACCCCUGUAGUCCUAGCCGUA